GGGGGGGAGAUGUGGGGCAGGGGGAGCGCUAUGGGGCUGGGGGUGUUGCUGUGGGGCUAGGGGUGUAUCUAUGGGGCUGGGGAUAUGGUUAUGGGGCUGGGGGGAUGUCUCUGUGGGUCCGGGGCUGUCCCUAUGGGGCUGGGGGGGAUCCUUACGGGUCCGGGGGCAUCCCUAUGGGGCUGGGGGUCUCCCUAUGGGUCCAGGGGGGGAUCUGUGGGGCUGGGCUCUAUCUAUGGGUCCGGGCCGUCCCUGUCCCCAGCUCGGCGCUGUCCUGGUGGUCGUCGGGGACGGGGGCUGCGGGGCUGGGGGGGGCCUUGGCCUACCUGGGGCUGACGCAGGCCGGGCUCAGCCCCCCCCGGGCGCUGCUGCCCCUGCUGCUGCUGCCGCCGCUCACGCUGCUCAGUUAUUUUUGCCUCCUGCGGCCCCCCGGGGACCCUCCCCCAGCAGAGGAGCCGCUGCUGGGGCCCAGCCCCGAUGUGGGGCUGGGGCUGGGGCAGAAGUGGAAGGUGCUGAAGCGCAUCUCCAGGCACAUGCUGCCCCUCGGCUUCGUCUACUUCGCUGAGUACUUCAGCAACCAGGGCCU
RNAcentral lists this long non-coding RNA (583 nucleotides) under Cairina moschata (Muscovy duck). RNAcentral's name for it is "domestica (muscovy Duck (domestic type)) lncRNA (ENSCMMG00000008064.1)". Lineage: Eukaryota; Metazoa; Chordata; Aves; Anseriformes; Anatidae. The record is from RNAcentral.